This 254-nucleotide ribosomal RNA is filed under the name uncultured bacterium. RNAcentral's name for it is "partial 16S ribosomal RNA". It matches the Rfam family "Bacterial small subunit ribosomal RNA", at positions 524 to 776 of the family's 1533-position model. The record is from RNAcentral.
GACGAACCGUGCGAACGUUAUUCGGAAUCACUGGGCUUAAAGCGCGUGUAGGCGGGCCGGCACGUCGGUGCCUGAAAGCCCCCGGCUCAACCGGGGAAGCGGGGCCGAUACGACCGGCCUGGAGGGACGUAGGGGGACCUGGAACUUCCGGUGGAGCGGUGAAAUGCGUUGAGAUCGGAAGGAACGCCCGUGGCGAAAGCGAGGUCCUGGACGUCUGCUGACGCUGAGACGCGAAAGCCAGGGGAGCGAACGGG